This 496-nucleotide ribosomal RNA is filed under the name uncultured bacterium. Its description in RNAcentral is "partial 16S ribosomal RNA". It matches the Rfam family "Bacterial small subunit ribosomal RNA", at positions 30 to 523 of the family's 1533-position model. The record is from RNAcentral.
AUUGAACGCUGGCGGAAUGCUUUACACAUGCAAGUCGAACGGUAGAGGGGGCAACCCCUCGAGAGUGGCGAACGGGUGAGCAAUAUAUCGGAACGUGCCCAGUCGUGGGGGAUAACGUAGCGAAAGUUACGCUAAUACCGCAUACGAUCUAAGGAUGAAAGCGGGGGAUCGCAAGACCUCGCGCGAUUGGAGCGGCCGAUAUCAGAUUAGGUAGUUGGUGGGGUAAAGGCCCACCAAGCCAACGAUCUGUAGCUGGUCUGAGAGGACGACCAGCCACACUGGAACUGAGAAACGGUCCAGACUCCUACGGGAGGCAGCAGUGGGGAAUUUUGGACAAUGGACGCAAGUCUGAUCCAGCCAUUCCGCGUGCAGGAUGAAGGCCCUCGGGUUGUAAACUGCUUUUGUACGGAACGAAAAGGUCUCUCUUAAUACGGGGGGCUCAUGACGGUACCGUAAGAAUAAGCACCGGCUAACUACGUGCCAGCCGCCGCCGUAA